RNAcentral lists this ribosomal RNA (443 nucleotides) under uncultured soil bacterium. Its description in RNAcentral is "bacterial SSU rRNA". It matches the Rfam family "Bacterial small subunit ribosomal RNA", at positions 26 to 470 of the family's 1533-position model. The record is from RNAcentral.
AGAUUGAACGCUAGCGGGAUGCUUUACACAUGCAAGUCGAACGGCAGCGCGGACUUCGGUCUGGCGGCGAGUGGCGAACGGGUGAGUAAUAUAUCGGAACGUGCCCAGUAGCGGGGGGAUAACUACGCGAAAGCGUGGCUAAUACCGCAUACGCCCUACGGGGGAAAGGGGGGGAUCGCAAGACCUCUCACUAUUGGAGCGGCCGAUAUCAGAUUAGCUAGUUGGUGAGGUAAAGGCUCACCAAGGCGACGAUCUGUAGCUGGUUCGAGAGGACGACCAGCCACACUGGGACUGAGACACGGCCCAGACUCCUACGGGAGGCAGCAGUGGGGAAUUUGGACAAGUGGGGAAACCUGGAUCCAGCCAUCCCGCGUGUGACGAUGAAGGUCCUUCGGGUUAGUAAGUACAUUUGUACGAGGGAAGUAAACGGCGUGACCCGUAAC